UAUGAAAUGCCUGAAAAAGGAUUAUUUUGAUAGAAUAAUUUAUAUAUAUAUUAAUUAUAUUUUCAUUU
RNAcentral lists this transfer RNA (68 nucleotides) under Pachycondyla annamita. RNAcentral's name for it is "tRNA-Ile". The record is from RNAcentral. Lineage: Eukaryota; Metazoa; Arthropoda; Insecta; Hymenoptera; Formicidae.